RNAcentral lists this ribosomal RNA (2884 nucleotides) under Klebsiella pneumoniae. RNAcentral's name for it is "bacterial LSU rRNA". It matches the Rfam family "Bacterial large subunit ribosomal RNA". Lineage: Bacteria; Pseudomonadati; Pseudomonadota; Gammaproteobacteria; Enterobacterales; Enterobacteriaceae. The record is from RNAcentral.
UUAAGCGACUAAGCGUACACGGUGGAUGCCCUGGCAGUCAGAGGCGAUGAAGGACGUGCUAAUCUGCGAAAAGCGUCGGUAAGGUGAUAUGAACCGUUAUAACCGGCGAUGUCCGAAUGGGGAAACCCAGUGCAAUUCGUUGCACUAUCGUUAACUGAAUACAUAGGUUAACGAGGCGAACCGGGGGAACUGAAACAUCUAAGUACCCCGAGGAAAAGAAAUCAACCGAGAUUCCCCCAGUAGCGGCGAGCGAACGGGGAGCAGCCCAGAGUCUGAAUCAGCUUGUGUGUUAGUGGAACGGUCUGGAAAGUCCGACGGUACAGGGUGAUAGUCCCGUACACCAAAAUGCACAGGCUGUGAACUCGAAGAGUAGGGCGGGACACGUGGUAUCCUGUCUGAAUAUGGGGACCAUCCUCCAAGGCUAAAUACUCCUGACUGACCGAUAGUGAACCAGUACCGUGAGGAAAGGCGAAAAGAACCCCGGCGAGGGAGUGAAAAGAACCUGAAACCGUGUACGUACAAGCAGUGGGAGCACCUUCGGGUGUGACUGCGUACCUUUUGUAUAAUGGGUCAGCGACUUAUAUUCUGUAGCAAGGUUAACCGUAUAGGGGAGCCGCAGGAAACCGAGUCUUAACUGGGCGUUAAGUUGCAGGGUAUAGACCCGAAACCCGGUGAUCAGCCAUGGGCAGGUUGAAGGUUGGGUAACACUAACUGGAGGACCGAACCGACUAAUGUUGAAAAAUUAGCGGAUGACUUGUGGCUGGGGUGAAAGGCCAAUCAAACCGGGAGAUAGCUGGUUCUCCCGAAAGCUAUUUAGGUAGCGCCUCGUGAACUCAUCUUCGGGGUAGAGCACUGUUUCGGCUAGGGGGUCAUCCCGACUUACCAACCCGAUGCAAACUACGAAUACCGAAGAAUGUUAUCACGGGAGACACACGGCGGGUGCUAACGUCCGUCGUGAAGAGGGAAACAACCCAGACCGCCAGCUAAGGUCCCAAAGUCAUGGUUAAGUGGGAAACGAUGUGGGAAGGCACAGACAGCCGGAUGUUGGCUUAGAAGCAGCCAUCAUUUAAAGAAAGCGUAAUAGCUCACUGGUCGAGUCGGCCUGCGCGGAAGAUGUAACGGGGCUAAACCAUGCACCGAAGCUGCGGCAGCGACACUAUGUGUUGUUGGGUAGGGAGCGUUCUGUAAGCCUGCGAAGGUGUGCUGUGAGGCAUGCUGGAGGUAUCAGAAGUGCGAAUGCUGACAUAAGUAACGAUAAAGCGGGUGAAAAGCCCGCUCGCCGGAAGACCAAGGGUUCCUGUCCAACGUUAAUCGGGGCAGGGUGAGUCGACCCCUAAGGCGAGGCCGAAAGGCGUAGUCGAUGGGAAACAGGUUAAUAUUCCUGUACUUGGUGUUACUGCGAAGGGGACGGAGAAGGCUAUGUUAGCCGGGCGACGGUUGUCCCGGUUUAAGCAUGUAGGCUGGUUAUCCAGGCAAAUCCGGAUAAUCAAGGCUGAGGUGUGAUGACGAGGCACUACGGUGCUGAAGUAACAAAUGCCCUGCUUCCAGGAAAAGCCUCUAAGCAUCAGGUAACAUCAAAUCGUACCCCAAACCGACACAGGUGGUCAGGUAGAGAAUACCAAGGCGCUUGAGAGAACUCGGGUGAAGGAACUAGGCAAAAUGGUGCCGUAACUUCGGGAGAAGGCACGCUGGUGUGUAGGUGAAGUCCCUGCGGAUGGAGCUGAGACCAGUCGAAGAUACCAGCUGGCUGCAACUGUUUAUUAAAAACACAGCACUGUGCAAACACGAAAGUGGACGUAUACGGUGUGACGCCUGCCCGGUGCCGGAAGGUUAAUUGAUGGGGUUAUCCGUAAGGAGAAGCUCUUGAUCGAAGCCCGGUAAACGGCGGCCGUAACUAUAACGGUCCUAAGGUAGCGAAAUUCCUUGUCGGGUAAGUUCCGACCUGCACGAAUGGCGUAAUGAUGGCCAGGCUGUCUCCACCCGAGACUCAGUGAAAUUGAACUCGCUGUGAAGAUGCAGUGUACCCGCGGCAAGACGGAAAGACCCCGUGAACCUUUACUAUAGCUUGACACUGAACAUUGAGCCUUGAUGUGUAGGAUAGGUGGGAGGCUUUGAAGCGUGGACGCCAGUCUGCGUGGAGCCAACCUUGAAAUACCACCCUUUAAUGUUUGAUGUUCUAACGUUGGCCCCUGACCGGGGUUGCGGACAGUGUCUGGUGGGUAGUUUGACUGGGGCGGUCUCCUCCCAAAGCGUAACGGAGGAGCACGAAGGUUAGCUAAUCCUGGUCGGACAUCAGGAGGUUAGUGCAAUGGCAUAAGCUAGCUUGACUGCGAGCGUGACGGCGCGAGCAGGUGCGAAAGCAGGUCAUAGUGAUCCGGUGGUUCUGAAUGGAAGGGCCAUCGCUCAACGGAUAAAAGGUACUCCGGGGAUAACAGGCUGAUACCGCCCAAGAGUUCAUAUCGACGGCGGUGUUUGGCACCUCGAUGUCGGCUCAUCACAUCCUGGGGCUGAAGUAGGUCCCAAGGGUAUGGCUGUUCGCCAUUUAAAGUGGUACGCGAGCUGGGUUUAGAACGUCGUGAGACAGUUCGGUCCCUAUCUGCCGUGGGCGCUGGAGAAUUGAGGGGGGCUGCUCCUAGUACGAGAGGACCGGAGUGGACGCAUCACUGGUGUUCGGGUUGUCAUGCCAAUGGCACUGCCCGGUAGCUAAAUGCGGAAGAGAUAAGUGCUGAAAGCAUCUAAGCACGAAACUUGCCCCGAGAUGAGUUCUCCCUGAGACUUUAAGUCUCCUGAAGGAACGUUGAAGACGACGACGUUGAUAGGCCGGGUGUGUAAGCGCAGCGAUGCGUUGAGCUAACCGGUACUAAUGAACCGUGAGGCUUAACCU